UCUGGUGUCAGCCGCCGCGGUAAUACCAGCUCUCCGAGUGGUAGGGAUGAUUAUUGGGCUUAAAGCGUCCGUAGCCGGCUUAGCAAGUCUCCUGUUAAAUUCAGCGACCUAAUCGUUGGUCUGCGGGAGAUACUGUUGGGCUAGGAGGCGGGAGAAGCCGACGGUAUUCUCGGGGUAGGGGUGAAAUCCUGUAAUCCCGGGAGGACCACCAGUGGCGAAGGCGGUCGGCUAGAACGCGCUCGACGGUGAGGGACGAAAGCUGGGGGAGCGAACCGGAUUAGAUACCCGGGUAGUCCCAGCUGUAAACGAUGCGGGCUAGGUGUUGGGGUGGCUACGAGCCACUCUGGUGCCGCAGGGAAGCUCAUAA
This 367-nucleotide ribosomal RNA is filed under the name uncultured archaeon. RNAcentral describes it as "bacterial SSU rRNA". It matches the Rfam family "Archaeal small subunit ribosomal RNA", at positions 451 to 818 of the family's 1478-position model. The record is from RNAcentral.